Molecule: non-coding RNA, 1832 nt
Organism: Chlorocebus sabaeus (green monkey)
Lineage: Eukaryota; Metazoa; Chordata; Mammalia; Primates; Cercopithecidae
Source: RefSeq, a predicted model, not a curated record
GUGGCGCAUGCGCCCCGACGCGCGGGCUCGCGGGCUCCUUUCUCCGUUGCCGUUCCAGGAAGCGGCCGCGGGGGAGCCCCACUGGCACGGAGCCGUGGGGCCUGCGACCACCCCCGGGGCUGGCCUGAGGGAUUCUGUCCAUGGCUGCCACCAAAACUUGGAUUUACGAUGAACAUUUCAGGCCAGAAAAGUUAAGAGAAUGGCCGGAGCCCGAGUCCGUUUCUUUAAUGGAGGUAUUAGCUAGAGAAGACAUUGAUGAAGCAGUACGUGCAAUAUUAUUUAGAGAAAAUUCUGUUGUGAAGAGAUUGGAUACGUAUUUUCAGCAUCUGGAUACUUUUAAGGAAAGAAGAAAAGAGAUGUUACAUAGAAAAUGGGUUGAAAACGUUGCAGAGCCUCUUCAGCAGAGAAUUAUGGAAAAAGUAAUUUCAUAUAAAGGGCUUAAAAAAAUGAAACAAGAGAAUGUUGAAUAUUAUUUACAGCACAGACAUAAAAUGGUUACAGUCCCAUCAUUUGUUGAUCCUCUGCUUCAAAGACAGCAAGAGGUGGAUGAAGAGAAGAGAACUGGUCUUCAAUGUGAGACAGGAAAACGACAUUCCAUCAAAGAAUUUAAAGAAAUAGAGAAGGCCAGGCUGCAUGCCAGCUCGCCCUACUUCACUUUCACUUCACAUCGUGUGAUUCCAAAAGAGUGGCAUAAAGCCUCCGCAAGAGCCAGGAGUAAAACUUACAAAUACAGUCCUGAAAAGCUCAUCGGUGCAGACAAGAAACAGAAAAGAAAAGAGAAAAACACCACUGACCUAAGUCAGGCUGCGUUUGAAAGGCAAUUCCUUUCCUCAAAACUCAGCCAGAAGAACAAAGUGGGUGAAAGGAAGGAUCUGGUAAGCAGAGACCUGGGGCGGGGCUGGCAUGCAGGGCUUUGCAGCCCCCACAAGCAGCACAUACUGGUUCCAGGAUGAGCCACCGCCACAGCCCUCCCUGUCAGACAAGCACUCAAGGGCGGAGGAGGCAUGGCCCAAGAAGAAGGGCGUGUAGAGGAGGAGGGAGAAAUGGCAGGUGGCCUCAGGCUCAGCACUGCAGCUCUGACUGGGCCCCUCAGGCGGGGAAGCCUUGUAUGAAGAAAGUCAGACAGGUGGUAAAUGUGGGACCUGGACCCCACUUCCUGGAGGCAGAUCCUGUCCUUCCAAGGUGAGGGCCAACCUGGCCACAGGGGCUUUUCCCCCUGAGAUUUCUUCAGCGCCUUUGCCUUUCUGCCACUUUCCCGCCAUUUUCCACUUACUCCAUCCAAACUGCACCAAAAAUCGUGUUCUUCUUAGUCCACACACAACAGGUGGGAAGUUUUUGAAAUGAAAUUUAUACCAACAAAUUAGGGCAAGAUGAGAUUUUUAAUAUUUAAAAGGUAUUUUUAUAUGUAAGAAUUUUUUGAGUACAGAUUUCUUAUCUGGAGCUCAUGGUUCAUUUGACACGGUUUUCAGCUCCUGGUCUAUUUCCCCUUCCAGUCUCUCUGCCGCGCCCCGUACCCUGAGGCCUGAGGCGCAGGACCCCCCCCAGGGAAGGCCUAGGGGCCUCAGCUCAGGACCUGACAGCAUCACUCCCACCCCUCACCACCACACACACGGGAUGGGGGACUGCUGCUGCUCUCCAGCCUGUGAGCCUGGAUAGCUAUUUUGUGACCCAGCUCCUGCUCAGUCUCAUUGCUGUCCCCGGUCUCUCCAGGGAGUAAGGGAUUCUCCAUCUGUGACCCUGUUCUCCAGACCCUGUUCUCCUGCCUCAAUGCUUACCAUGGAAAGUUUGUACCAACACCUGUCACCUCACUGCACCCACGCCCUGACUCUGGU